Molecule: unclassified non-coding RNA, 281 nt
Filed under: Sistotrema coronilla
Lineage: Eukaryota; Fungi; Basidiomycota; Agaricomycetes; Cantharellales; Hydnaceae
Description: partial internal transcribed spacer region
Rfam family: Eukaryotic small subunit ribosomal RNA (bases 1-46)
Source: RNAcentral
AAGUCGUAACAAGGUUUCCGUAGGUGAACCUGCGGAAGGAUCAUUAAUGAAUUUGGAGAAUUGAUGCUGGCCUUUGUGCAUGUGCUCGUUCUCUUUAAUCCAUACACACCUGUGCACUUGUUAUCGGGGCUUGUUGUUAAAGAUAAGCCCUGCUUAAUCACAUACUCUUAUUAUUUACUUUGAAUGUUUAUCAAGUCGAAAGACUUUUAAAUCAAUACAACUUUUAACAACGGAUCUCUUGGCUCUCGCAUCGAUGAAGAACGCAGCCUGUCUCUUAUACA